Molecule: small nuclear RNA, 147 nt
Organism: Gracilinanus agilis (Agile Gracile Mouse Opossum)
Lineage: Eukaryota; Metazoa; Chordata; Mammalia; Didelphimorphia; Didelphidae
Product: U4 spliceosomal RNA
Exons: 1
Source: RefSeq, a predicted model, not a curated record
AGCUUUGCACAGUGGCAGUAUCAUAGCCAAUGAGUUUUAACUGAGGUGCGAUUAUUGCUAAUUGAAAACCAACUCUGAAAUUCAGAGAUACUAUCUCCUUGCUCAUAAUUGCAGAAUAUGACAUCAUAUUGAUAAUAAAGUAUUUUA